AUGGCAUGCACACACCUUGCAGAUGCACCUUACAUGUGGCAUGCCUCCUGGGGGGACAAGCUGGAAAUACUGUUCCAGGCCUGGGCCAGGGUCCAGCAGCCCUUAGCCCAGCAGUCCAUCCACUGGAUAGAGGCCAUUGAGGGGUAUGAUACCUCCUCCCAAAAGGAUGAAGUGGUAUCUGCAGACAGAGCUGAGGUUAUCCCCAGGGUGUGUGGAGAUCCACCCCCACUGGAAGGGCCAGAUACCAUCAUGCCUAUCCUCAAGGAAGAUGGAUCCUACCUGCUCUGUGGAUUUUGGGCUGAUGAGCCUGAAGCACCAGCCCAGGCCUGGUCUGAGACUGUGAAAUGUACAAUCCAGCAGCCCAUCUGCUGUGCUGAGGCCAAUGUGGUGGAAGACCUUUCCUACAAAAAGGAGGAAGGGGAGGUGGCAACUGCAGUCCAGGCUGAGCCUAUCCCCAGGGUGUGUGGAGAUCCACCCCCACUGGAAAGGCCAGAUGUCAUCCUGCCUAUCCUGAAGGAUGACAGAUCCUACAUGCUCUGUGGAUAUUGGGCUGUUGAGUCUGGAACACCAGUGCAGGUUUCUGCUGAGCCUUGGCACCUUACAGCCCAGCAGCCCAUCUGCUGUGCUGAGGCCAUUGUGGUGGAAGAUACCUCAAGCCAAAAGGAGGAAGGAGAGGUGGCAUCUCCAGACCUGGCCAAGGCAAACCCCAGGGUGUGUGGAGAUCCACCCCCACUGGAAGGGCCAGAUGUCAUCGUGCCUAUCCUCAAGGAUGAUGGGUCCUACAUGCUCUGUGGAUUUUGGGCAGAUGAUGAUGUUGAAGCUCCAAUCUGGGCCUGUGCUGGGGCCUGGCACCCUACAACCCAGCAGCCCAUCUGCUGUGCUGAGGCCAUUGUGGUGGAAAACCCCUACCACCAAAAGGAGGAAGUGGAGUUGGCAUCUACAGACCAGGCCGAGGCUAUCCCCAGGGUGGGUGAAGAUCCACCCCCACUGGAAGGGCCAGAUGCCAUCGUGCCUGUCCUCAAGGAUGACGGGUCCUACGUGCUCUGUGCAUAUUGGGCAGAUGAACCUGAAGCACCAGACCAGGCCUGGGCUAGGGCCUGGCACUUUACAACCCAGCAGCCCCUCUGCUGUGCUGAGGCCAUUGUGGUGGAAGACUCCUCAAACAAAAAGGAGAAAGUCAAGGGGGCAUCCUCAGAUCAGGCUGAGGCUAUGUCCAGGGUGGGUGAAGAUCCACCCCCACUGGAAGGGCCAGAUGUCAUCGUGCCUGUCCUCAAGGAUGACGGAUCCUACCUGCUCUGUGCAUAUUGGGCAGAUGAGCCUGAAGCCCCAGUCCAGGCCUGGGCUGGGGCCCUGCACCCUACAGCCCAGCAGCCCAUCUGCUGUGCUGAGGCCAUUCUCGUGGAAGAGCCCUCAUCACAAGAGGAGGAAGGGAAGGUGGCACGUGCAGACCAGGCUGAGGCUAAUCAGAGGGUGUGUGGAGAUCCACCCCCACUGGAAGGGCCAGAUGUCAUCGUGCCUAUCCUCAAGGAUGAUGGAUCCUACCUGCUCUGUGGAUACUGGGCAGAUGAGCCUGAAGCACCAGCCCAGGUCUGGGCUGAGGCCUGGCAUGCAAAAACCCAGCAGCCCAUCUGCUGUGCUGAGGCUUUUUGGGUGCUAAGAACUUCCUCUGGUGGAUACCAUGAAACCUGACUCUGUUCAUUCCAGUACCCCAUUUAUAUUAAAGUUUGGUUUUGUUAAUUAUUUGGGUUCAAUAUUUUGCUCCAUAUUCUUUAAACCUCACAAAUACAUGGAUUAGUAUAACACUGGAACCUGGAAUUCUAGGUGUCUUCUGAUAACUGUAGUCAAGAUUGUUCCUAUGCCACAGGACGUGUCUACAUGCAUCAAGUCUAGUGAAAAAAACCAGACAUAGUCCAAUACCAUGUGAGUACAGGUUAAAGCAGACCUGCUGGGAGUGCACAGUAAGGAGGCAGUUCUAAGGUGAAUGCAAGAAUGCAUAUACUCAAGAUGAGCAUGAGAAUCUCUCAAGACAGUGAGGGAGUGUCAUUAGAAAGGCGUGUGGGACUCUUCUGGAAUCUUAGUGAGUGGGGAUAUUCACUUUCAACAACAUAUUAAUGUGUCCCCUUGAAUUUCAUGGGUCUUUCUCCAUACUGGUUUACAAAACAAAGGAAAAUGAUCGGGCCGGCACCAUGGCUCAAUAGGCUAAUCCUCCACCUAGCAGCACUGGCACACUGGGUUCUAGUCCCGGUUGGGGCUCCGGAUUCUGUCCCGGUUGCUCCUCUUCCAGGCCAGCUCUCUGUUGUGGCCAGGGAGUGCAGUAGAGGAUGGCCCAAGUGCUUGUGCCCUGCACCCCAUGGGAGACCAGGAGAAGCACUUGGCUCCUGCCUUCGGAUCAGUGUGGUGUGUCGGUCGCAGUGUGCCAGCUGUGGCAGCCUUUGGAGGGUGAACCAAUGGCAAAAAGGAAGACCUUUCUCUCUGUCUCUCUCUCUCACUGUCCACUCUGCCUGUCCAAAAAAAAAAGAAAGAAAAUGAUCAUUUUCUGUCAGCACAUCAUCACAGGAAGCACACAGGGAACUAUGAAAUUUGGCUGUUUUUCUUCUGCACAGUGCAGUGAGCCUUGGGCCCCUUGCUGCCUGACUGUUGAGCAAAGGGUAGGAGGUGGCCCACAUCCCAGCCAGGCCCCAAUGGUGGU
Oryctolagus cuniculus (rabbit) is the source of this 2689-nucleotide long non-coding RNA. The record is from Ensembl. NCBI's taxonomy places the organism in Eukaryota, Metazoa, Chordata, Mammalia, Lagomorpha, Leporidae.